This 15223-nucleotide long non-coding RNA is filed under the name Hordeum vulgare. Its description in RNAcentral is "long non-coding RNA (HVUL_LNC006383)". The stretch from base 8436 to 8568 matches the Rfam family "MIR1120/MIR1122 microRNA precursor family". The record is from RNAcentral. Lineage: Eukaryota; Viridiplantae; Streptophyta; Magnoliopsida; Poales; Poaceae.
CGGACGAGGCAGACCUUGCCGUCCCUGGCGGCGAGGCUGAAGCUCUCCUCCCCGGCCUUGCAGAAGACCCUGUACGUCGGCUGCCUGGUCGCCGGGGGCGCCAUCCCGCCGCCGCCGCCGUGGUGCGGGCGCGUCUCGUUGCCGUAGCCCCCGUACUGCGGCCUCUCGUCGCCGGACUCGUGGGAGACGUGCACCACGUUGCCGUGGGCGGGCGCGCCGUAGCCUUCGUCGCGGCCGCCUCCGUACGCCGGAGCGGGGGCGUGGCGCCCGUAGUCACCCCCGCCGUACCCGGCCGGCGCGGGCGCGUGGCGCCCGUAGUCGUCCUCGCGCCCCCCACCGUAGGCCGGGGCGCGGCCGCCGUAGUCGUCCUCGCGCCCCCCACCGUAGGCCGGGGCGCGGCCGCCGUAGUCGUCCUCGCGCCCCCCACCGUAGGCCGGGGCGCGGCCGCCGUAGUCGUCCUCGCGGCCGCCACCGUAGGCGGGGGGCGGGGCGCCGUAGGCGACGUCGUCGGGGCGGCGGCCGUAGGACGGGGGAGGGGCGCCGUAGGGGUCGGGCUCUUGGCGGCCGUAGGGGGCGGGGGGGCGGCGGUCGUCGUCGUCGUCGUCGCGGCGGCCGUGGCCGUGGCCGUGGCGGUGAGGGAACUCCAUGAUUGAUUGGCCUGUCGGUGGUGGUGGUCGGGACUCGGGAAAUGGGAACGCGGGGGGGUGGUGGAGGUGGAUCCGAUCCGAGCCUAAAUAUGUCGCGUCGCCGGAGUACAUGUCGACGGGCGGGUGAGGUGAGCGCGCGACGUGGCGCCAAUGGGACGCGCUCGCACGACCGACCGACCGACCGGCCGGGCCGAUUCAAUUUCGCAACUGGGCGAUGGCGAUCGGUGGAUCGCCACGUGCACAGCUUUGCACUACACACGUCGCGGAUGGUGGAAAAAUCGUGGUCGUAUCUCAUCCGUUGUUUCUUUUCCUUCGGAUGCCGCGGGAGAUCGGAUCGUAUCAAGCCAAACCAGUCAAGUACCAGCUCAACAAAAAUCAACCGAGCACUCAAUUAUUGCUUGAAUUUCAAGAAGAAAAAAAGGGAAAAGGAGAAUUCGAUGUGGUGUGUACGCUGUGGCCCAAUGGUGCAGCUGCGAGUUCUGAUUUCUUGUUUGAUUGGGGUUGCAUGCGCGGAGGCAGCGGGCGCCAGACGGCGAAUCCUAUUUGACGCUGCAAGCGUCGGUUAAAGUGUAUUUUUCUUAACUGACGCCUGCAGUUUUCGGUCAUGGCCGACCCUUCGGGAGGCGGUUUUUCCGUCUUUGUGAAGGUUCCGCAAGCUUUCUAGAUGGAUUUUCUUAUUUAUGUUUUUUAGGACUGGUUCUUCUUUGGUUUAUCUUUUUUUCUUUAUUAUUUUUAUUACUUUUUCAUUUUCGUUUUAAUAUUUAUAUAAUUUUUACUUUUUGAAAAACGCAGCCAUUUCUUGAUUAACUUUUUCUCAAACGAACAAAUAUUUUUUCAGAUCAAUGAACCUUUUUCAGAAUUAUAUGUUCUUUUAUUAAAAUUCUAUGAACAUUUGUGAAUAUCGAUGAACUUUUUUCAAAUUAUGAUGAACGUUUUUCUGAUUGAUGAACUUUUUGAAAUGGAUGAACCUUUUUAAGAAUUGUGAAAAAAAAUUCAGUUCAACAAUUUUUUUAAAAAAAAAUCAAAUUCAUGAACUAAUUUUCAAAAUCCGUUAACUUUUUAAAAAUGUGAGAAGUUUUUUUUCAGAUCACAAUGAAUUUUUUCAAAUUCGUUAACUUUUUGUUUCAAAAUUGGUGAACCAUUUUUCGCUUUUAUGAACCUUUUAUGUUCUUUUUUUUUUGGUUUUUAUUAUAAAAAACCCACCUUGAGCCUGGGCCGGCCCGUUAUGCACGGUGUGUGGGCGCUAGUUCUCCUAGCUGGCGCUUAAGGCGCCGCCUCGCCGCUAUGAGCUCCCGGGCCAUACCCCCCCCCCCCACCCAAGGAACUAGUAGUAAUAUAUUGGCUUAAUUAUACGAUGGACUUAAUCCACUUGUUGACUCGUACCUGCUAAUCGAUCCACACGAUCAACGAUACGCACACACUAAUCCAAUUUGAUGUUAUCGACUCUUUCCUCGGCGACGCACCAGUCGCUAGGGUUUCAUUGACGCCGCCGUGCUGGUCGCCGGUUGUCGCGUCGGGCCGCCACCGCCGACCCGCUGUGCUCCGCCCGUCAUCGACCGUGCUGCCGCCGACCAUGCAUCAAUCGAGUACAGAGAGUCCACACAGGCUAAGAAGUUGAACGGCGCUGCCGCAAGCCCACACACAAUCCCUAACCGAUGCUGUGCAGCUGUGUUGUGAUCAGAAGACGAGGUCUUGAUGUAAUGUAAGGUGUACAAUUGUCUAGUGUCUACAGACCAGGUUUCAUAUUAUUGUGGUUGUCACUUGUUGGUUUGAUUCAUUCAAUAGAUCAAUUAAUCAAUUGUUAGUACUUAGUAGUUAGUAAUAAUUUAUUUUGAUACUUGUGAGAUCAAUUACAUAUUUUCUUUUUACUUAAUGGAAGAACUGAAAACUGCAUAGGUCAUGAAUAAGAGGAAGACAUCACCGAUAAGUAAUGGUUUCAACCAAUUGCUACAAACUCUAACUCUGCGAUUGAAAAUGCAAAUGCAAGUGUCAAGGUAGAUGUCACACAGCAACCCACUGGUCAUAAUGUCCCCAAUCUCAGUUCAGUUGAUAUGCCACCCCCCGAGCAAAAUAUUCAGGUAUCUGUGGAAGUUCUAGAACAGCAAAGAAUUGGAAGCACACCAUUUGAGCGAGACCCUGGAAAGCGCAAAUAAAUUUGGGAACUCCCUCUUGAGAAGCAAAAUGAAGCACCUUGAUCGUAAAUCUCUCGAAAACUCGUCACUAUAGCUUAUCUGUGGUGGCACCAAUACUGUUAGAGAUUGGAGAGCUAGUUUCCUCUUUUUCUUCCUUUUACAUUUAACAUGUAAAUCCGUCAUCCAACGUACCGGGCCAUCUUUGUGCAAAGUUUGCUUGCACACUGACGGUCAUCGAAAGUUGGAUGGAUUUGAGACCCUCUUUCCUGCUCAUCAGCUUAUUGAUUGAUGAUGCCAGGAGGCAGGAGCUCUUUUGUUGAAUAAAGCUCUCUGACUGGAACACAAAAAAAGACACAACCAUUCAAAAAUGAUUGUGACAUUUACAAAAGUAUUCACGCUCUUCAAACAUAUGUUCACAACAUUUUCAGGAAAUGUCUAUACAACAGUAAAGAAAGUUAUGUAACUUCAAAUAAAUUGUACUACCAUUAAAAAAACUUUGUGUCAUCAUAAAAAAGGUUCACACGUUUCAAAAACAUGUUCGUAUUGUUUUUCUACAUAUGUUCGUACCAUUCAAAAAAUGUUUGUGACAUUGAGAAAAAUGUGCAUGUGUUUCGGAAAAAAUGUUGUUGAUUUUUUUAUACAAAUGUAAAAAAAAGUUUGCUUAGUUUAGAAGAAAAAAUAUUAUACCAUAAAAAAUAUGAUCAAAUAUGUAUUCCAAAAAAGUUGGACACGUAUUCAAAAAAAAUGUUCAAAGCAUUUAAAAAAAAACUAAUGUGUAUCAAAAAUAGUUGCUGAUGUACACAAAAAUGUACAACAUAUAUGAAAAAAUAGACAUGUAUUGAGAAAAUGGGGAAAUAUUAAACGUAUACGAAAUAGACAUCUAUUGUGGCAGUUCAAGACAAUAAUCGUAGUCGUCAAAAGGUUCUUCCUUUGCGACAGCAAGAACAACUUGGUGGGUAAUUUGUCAAUUCUUAAAGCCAUUCAUUCACCAUCACUUGAUUAAUUUGUAACUCAGCUAAUUAGCCACUAGCUACGACUAACAUCACUUGCAUAGCUUGUGGGGCAUCACUUUGCUUUCAGCACAAGAAAGUACUUAUAGUUAAUAAGUUAUUUGAGCUAAGUAGCAAUCCAAUGUGCGACGUGGAGUUUCUCAGCCCGCGCUCAACUGAGCUCGAAUGAACAGUAAAAGUAAAGUGAGAAAAACUGCGGCAAACCUAUUUAGCGUGACAGGCAUUGCUUAAAGGAAAAAGUUGCUAACCGGCGCCUGCAGGGCUCCGUAAUGGGCGGGCCCAUGUUGAGAUCCUUCAUGAACUUUUUUUAGCCUGUGAAAUGUUUUAGCCCGUGAUCUUUUUUUGAAAUCGGUAAACUUUUUUGAAAAUCAAUGAUAUUUUUUGGAAAUUCAUGAACAUUUCUGAAAAUCAAUGAACAUAAUUUAAAAUUCAUGAUUUUUUUCAAAAUCAGUGAAAUAUUUUUAAAAAUUGAUGAACUUUUUCAAAAUCAGUGAACUGUUCUUAAAAAUUGAUGAACUUUUUUCAAAAUCAAUGAUUGUUUUUUCGAAUCUUUAAACUUUUUGAAAAUCCAUGAAAAUAUUUUUCAAAAAUAGGUGAACAUUUUCAUAAUAAUUGAACUUUUUUGAAAAUCUGAACUUUUUAAAAUUCUGUGAACUUUUCUCAAAUUUUUAGUGACCAAGACAUUUUUUACAUGGGAGGAGUGCUUCAGGCGCCGGUUUCCCUAACUGGCGCUGAAGGCGCCAAAUACGAGGGGACUUCCUAUACCGUACCUUCAGCGUCCUCUAAGCCAAUUGGCGCUCGAUGUACCUUCCUAUACCGUCCUAUUUAAACUUUUUAAAAAUCCAUGAACAUAUUUUUCAAAAAUAGGUGAACUUUUUUCAUAAUAAUUGAACUUUUUUGAAAAUCUGAACUUUCUAAAAUUCUGUGAACUUUUCUCAAAUUUUUAAUGACCAAGACAUUUUUUACAUGGGAGGAGUGCUGCAGGCGCCGGUUUCCCUAACUGGCGCUGAAGGCGCCAAAUAGGAGGGGACUUCCUAUACCGUACCUUCAGCGUCCUCUAAGCCAAUUGGCGCUCGAUGUACCUUCCUAUACCGUCCUCUUUAAACUUUUUGAAAAUCCAUGAAUAUAUUUUUCAAAAAUAGGUGAACUUUUUUCAUAAUAAUUGAACUUUUUUGAAAAUCUGAACUUUCUUAAAUUCUGUGAACUUUUCUCAAAUUUUUAAUGACCAAGACAUUUUUUACAUUGGCUGGCCCAUGAGGAGGAGUGUUGCACGCGCCGGUUUCCCUAACUGGCGCUGAAGGCGCCAAAUAGGAGGGGACUUCCUAUACCAUACCUUCAGCGUCCUCUAAGCCAAUUGGCGCUCGCUGUAUCGAAUUCAUGGGCCGACCAACGACGCGCAACACAAGCGCAAAAGUCCUAAAAAAUGAUGGGGAUUGAUCUGCGACGGCGCGCUGGCCCAAACUUUUGGCCGGCCGCGCGCGAGCGGCAGGAUCCACCAACCCCGCGUCGUCCGCACCAUUGGAUCCGCAUGCAACAUUUUUUUUUCCUAUGCAGCAAAAUUUCGAUUCGAUGCGAUGCAGCAAUUUUUUUAACGGUUGCAACAAAAAACAAAAAUUGUGCCAAAAAAAUAUUUACGUGAUCGUAGCAAAAAAAUAAAGCUGAUGGUACGUGGUAGCAAAAGUCAAACGCCGAUUGUAACAAAUAUUUAUGUGACGUGUAUGCAACUUUUUUAGUGAACAGUUGCAGCAAACAUGAUGCCGGUUGUAGCAAAAAUUAACACGGUUGUAGCAAAAAGUAAAAAACAUCGAUUGUAACGAAAAAUCCAACGAACUGGUGUUGCAACCAAACGUAUAUGCAGCUUUUUUACUGAAACAAAAAAUAGUAAAAAAACGCUUGCAGCAAAAAUGACGCUGGUUGCAACAUAUUUAGACGAAAAAUGUUGCAUCCAUUGACCAGAAAAGCGCGCGGGUGGAAAAAAUGUUGCAAGGACCCGCGCGCGCGAGGGGAUGACCGGCGCGCGGGUGGGAAACGAUUCCCAAGAAUGAUUGGGGCUUUGACUCGAACUCAGGUCCUCUCAUUCCUACAUCUUCUCUGCUAACCACUAGUCCUAGAAGCUAAUAGUAAUCAACUGAACCUCAAAAAUAUUUAAGAAUACUCUAGCCACGUAGUUCCAAAAUCUGAAAGUUCACAUAUUUUUAAAAAGUUCACGAUUGUUUUCUUAAAAAAGCCUCACGUAUUCGAAAAACAAAAUCACGAAAUUGAAAAUUCAUUAAUUUGAGAAUAAAAUUUCACAAAUUUUCAAAAAAAUCUCUAAUUUAAGAAAAGUUUGUAAGUUUGAAAAACGUUAACAGAUUUGAAAAUGUUCACAAGAUCCACAUAAGUUCACCAAAUUGUUAAAAAAAUUCAAGAAUCUUUAAAAAGUUCCAUCAAAUUCGAAAAAAGUUCAUCAAUUUUGAAAAAAGUUCAACGGAUUUCAAAACAAGUUCAUUGAUAUUUUUUUUUUAAGUUCAUCGAAUCUGCAACAGUUUUAUCAAUUUAAAAAAAGUUCAGUGUAUUUUCAAAAAAGUUUAUCAUUUUUUAUAAAUAUUUUGAACAAAAACUUGGAAAAGGUUCAUUGGAUUCGAAAAAGGUUCACCGAAUUUUGAAAAUUUCAUCAAGUUUAAAAAUAGUUCACCAUUUCGUAAAAAGUUCACAAAUUCAAAGGAAAAAAAUCAUCAAUGUUGGAAAAAGUUCAUUGGUUUUUCUAAAAAAAGUUCAUUGUAUUUGAAAAAGUUUGUCAAAUUUGAAAGAAGUUCACUGAACUAGGAAAGAGUUCAUCAAAUUUUAAAAAUUGUGGAUGGAUUAAAAAAUAAACGACUAAGAAAGAAGGAAAAUUAAAAAGAAAAUAAAAACAAAAACAGAAAACAGAUAAAAGGAAAAAUGAAAAAAGAAGAAACAAUGAUAAGGUAAAAAUGACGUAUGUUGACACAUCAAGGAAUGUGGUUACCACUCUUCGCACCGAGCUAGGAGAUCCUGGGUUCGAAUCCUACUCCUUUCCAAUAUUUGAAUGAACAGACAGACGUAAAUGGGCUAACCGGCGCCUGCAGCAUUAAAUAGGAAAUGCCGAAAUGACGAAUAGGAGGUCCCAAAAAACUGUGUGUGCCUGUGCUAGAUUGGGUCAGGCGCAUGUCUGCCUCGCGCACUAGGCUUGGCCCAUCAUCGGUGUGCUUGAGACGAGGAAGUCUUAAGCGAGACAUAGAGGCUCUCACGAAGUAUAGCAUUGUGGACUGGAGUAGAAUAUAGUUCUUUUAAGCUAAGCCUAACCCCCUUUAUGGCCCAAUACAUAUAUAAACACUACACACUCUGUGCCGGCCUACAUGCACUGACCCGAACUUGUACUCGAUCUGGUCAUGGCCCACAAAAUUGGAUCAUUCUACGUUCGAUUCUCCUUUUCUGCUGAAAAAAAUGCAAGACAAUAGAGCAUUUUUUAGGAAGCAAUACCACUAUAUAUGUUGUCAUUGCAACAAUCUAUUAUAUUAAGAGCAUCUACACCCGGACCCCUCAUACAUGUCUCAAACGCCUCGACAGGCCGUCCGACCAGUGAUCGGUCACAAAAACGCGACCCAACCGAACCUCUUAAAUCCGUCUCAAACGCCCGAGCUGACCGGCACUGCUCAUAUCCGGCCCAAAUAUAGGGCUGAUAUGGGGCGGUCCGGUCACACCGGGUGUGUCUGCCCGGUAAGCCCGGUCCAACACUGACCCCACCGUUGUCCCACAAAAUCCCCACUUUGGCCGCCUCGUUCCGAACUCUAGCUCACUCUCUCUCGCUCUGUCCCCUCCUCCCCCUCUUCGAGUAUGAUCCCAUCGUGUCCAAUGUCGAUCUCCGACAGCCGCUCCGGCUCCGACGGUCGCUCCGGCUCCAACGGCUCGGACAUCGACCCCGAGGAGUUGGCCCUCCGCAUCGCCUUGGAGCGCGGUCCAAGGUGGAGACGGCCGGAAGCUCCGGAUCUAGCGCUUAGCCACUGGUCCCGCGUCGACGGAUCUAUGACAUCGAAGCGGGACCCUCCCGGCACGCGAGCAGCUCCGUCGGGACUGCGUCCGCACCUGCCCUGCGUGCUGCCCUUUCCCCGCCGGCCGCUCCUCCACGCGGGCAUCAUUGGGUCCUAGUACCCGCACCAUUGGCCUGCACGGGCACUCCGGAAUCGGAGGCGCGCACCGCCCACCGUGAGAGGCAGCGGGCAAGGGAGAGGGAAACAAAGCAGUCUGUGCGCCACCGUCGCGAGAUGCCGGCUGAGCCCGACAAGGACGAACGCCUCCUCGCAUGGGUGUACCUCGGGUCCCUCACGACGGCAGAGACGAGUGUUCGACACCUUCGUCAGAAGAACGCCAAGGCGUUUCAGCUUGCUAUUGAGCAGUCGGAGCGCGAAGCGAAGGAGCUAGCGGAGGAGAAGGCUCGACUCGCCAAGAUGAAGCGGGAGCAGUACAGGGCCGUCCGUCGGAUGAAUGGCCUCAUCGUCUUCUUGGACUCGGACUCUGACGACGGCAACAACGACACCUCGCCCUUUGACCCUCCGCCAGCCACGAACGGCUACAACUGCGUCGACGACCCACAGGGCAAAGGGCCAGCAAGGAAGUGGUGAUCUGCCCCCCCCCCUCUACGCAUUAUUUAUAUACUCCCUCCGUCCCAAAAUUCUUGUCUUAUUGUCUAAAAAUGGAUGUAUCUAAGUACUAAAACAUAACUAGAUGCAUUCAUAUCUAUACAAAUGUAAGACAAGAAUUUUGGGACGGAGGGAGUAGUUUUUAGUUGUAGUAACGUAAGAAAUUUGUCCGAUGAACUUGAGAUGAUCUUGUGGCUGAUGUUUGAUGUCCGUUUGAAGUUGAUUUUGUGUUUGUGCGUUUUUGAUUUUGUUGUCCUAUGUUUUUUCACGUACAAUAGCUCAACGUUGCGUGGGUAGUACGGAUAUGGGUGUCGGAUAUAAGACAAGCGGAUGUGAAAAGGAAAAUAUGAAACGCGUCUGGCCAGUGUACGAGACGCGACCGUUUGAGGGGUUAGAUUUGCAAGUUACGACUAUAGAUGCUCUAAAUACUAUCUUUCCUGGUUAAAAAGACACUUAAGGCCCCUCCCCACUUCACCUAUGUCUUCGGUUUUGCCGAUUCUUCUCAUUGAUUUUUCUUAAAAGACACCUCAACUGUCUCAUGUAUUUUUAUAGCUUAGCAAAUAAAAUUAUGUUUUCGUUGGUAUGUCUAUAGGUGCUAGUUUAAUUGACAGUCGAUAUAUUAGCAGUUAUGGCGAAGCCACAAGUUCAAAGUUAUGAUCUCAAUUCAUAAUUGUGACCAAAUACGUGUGUUUAUAUGAUUUUUUUUCUUUCUUGAUUUCUACUUAUAUGUGUUGCUUUUGCACAAAUACUGUAUAGUCAACUGACUACACAGAACACAUGUGGAGUCGUCAUUGUGUAAUCACACUUACACACUAUCAAUAAAAUGACGGGUAAAUCAUGAUGAGUGCGUGCAAAAUAUUUAUGCCUCGUUGCAACACCAACCAUUAUCUAAUAGUAGUAGUUAAGAAACAAUAUCCCUGGUCCUCAAAAGGUUCUCCCUUUGCGGCAGCAAGCACAACUUGGUCAGUAACUUGUCAACUCUCAGAGCCAUUCAUGCAUCAUCACCUGAUUAAUUAUUAUUUUUAACGCAAUCACCUGAUUAAUUAAUAACUGGUGAGGGUAUAUCCGUACACAUGCAGCUCAGCUAAUUAGCCACUAGCUGCGGUUGACAUCACUUGCAUAGCUUGUGGGGCAUCACUUUGCUUUCAGCACAAGGAAGUGGUUAAUUAAUCACUUAUUUGAGCUAAGUACCAAUCCAACGUGUGCUUUUGCUUCGUCUUAGGAAGCAGGUUAUGGAGCUGUCUCGUUGAUACCUAGCUACUUGGCACUUGCAGUGGUCAAACACUUGGUAGAAAACAUUUUUUAAUUUUGAGCGUGUUCAUUCUGAUGGAUCGAGAUAGCUUGACCCCUUCAAGUUAUAUGUAAUAAUGCACAUCGAUUGUACAAGCAAAAGGCCGAUUUAAUAUACUCAUGGCAUUAUAUUACUCCGUUGCAUUACGUGAGAGAAUUCUCAAUGAUGAGUGCCAUGCAUGCACAAGGUGAAAAAACAACAAAAACAAUGAAGCGUGCAUGGUUGAUCAAGGUAUCAGUUUACCAUCCCAUUGUUUUUUUUAUCUACCGGUGGUCUACGAAUUCAUAUGUGCUAGUAUUCAGUUGGUAUAACCAUAAUCAGCGAAAAAUUCGAUGGGGCAUCAUGUAUCCGCAGCUUAGUUAUACGCAUACAUACGUAAAAUAUUCAACCCAUGCUACAAAAAAUACUUUUAUCCAUGUGGCAAUCUUGCAUUGCUCCAUAUAUAAUUUCUCAAAUAAAUUGCUAAGAUAUAUUUAAUUAUUAGAUACACGCAUGCCUAUAUGGUUGUUUAAUUACCUUUCACAACAUUUAGUUACUUUUUGUCAAUAACAUUUAACAAAUGUACAACUUGUACUAGUAAGUACGUACAACAAACAAAAUGUAGAUAUAUUGUUACCGCGACGCAUCGCUCAUAGGAGUGGACACGAAAUAGAUAGUGAUAUUGGGCAUUGCUAUUUUCUCCUUAUUGAAUUAAUAUCACAAUUGAUUCGUGUGUACAAAAUAUGAGCAUGACGCCGAGCAGUUGAGUGGCCCCAAUGUGAAUUUAUUUCUAACACCACCUACACCCCAAAUCUAAUGUUGUUAUUCAUGACCAAGUAAUCUUAUUAUUUAUGUGCCUCGUGAGUUUGCUCUUCAUAUUCGGGUUUGCAUUUGUGCAAAUGUGAGCUUCAUUAUCUUCAUGUAUGUAGAUCCGGGUUCCCUCUGCUAUGAUACCAAUUGUAGGAAACCUACUAUGUGAUGGCUUUGAUACCCAUAAUACUUGAGAACCUUCACACUCUCAAAUAAUGGGGAUAACUCGAUCUUUUAUUCACAACCACUAAUAGAAAAACUACUUUACGUGAGAUACAUUAGUCCCUGUUUGUAAACGGACGGGCACUAAUGUGACCAUUAGUGCCGGUUUAAACGGCUAGGGAGGCGCGCAUCAUUAGUCAUGAUUCGUGUUGAACCUCUAGUACCGGUUCGUGACACGAACCGGGACUAAUGGAGUGGUGACAGGCUGGUGUCUGCCUGCUUCAACUCAUGAUACUUGGUACAAACUUUAUUGGUGUCUACCUGCCAUUCUCAUUCAUAGCGGGUCCUACUACUACCUUGGUUCUCUUUCUACCUUGCUUAGUUUGGUUUAUCUUAGGAGGGGAGUCCAUCCCUAUCUAGAGUUGCACAUGACCAUUAGAUUGAUGGCAGGUGGCAACCAUCCAAAACCAAUGCAGUCAUUGCUCUCUGAAUAACCUAGAAAACACCCUACAAAUAUCUUAUAUCUAGUGUUCUCUUUAAUUUGCCACAUAAUUUAUUCAAACAUUUGUUCUAGAACCACCGAGAGAAAUAACAACUCAUGUGUAUUAAUAUCCAAAUGAUCUAGAAGUUUCUUAUCUUUGAGAUGAAUAACUUCUCUAGUAUCCUCCAUGGCAAAUAUCUUGACGUUCUCGAUUCUUAGAAAUAUCUUCAGUGACCCAAGUAUGCAUUGCAUAUUAUCAACAAUAGGAAAUCGAUAGAGUAUCUCAAGAAUGUAAACAACUAUCGGCUAUGGCAUGUCACCGUAUGAGGCCAAAUGGUGUGCAUAUGUCAACAUAGGGAGGAUAUCUAGUGGCCAAGCACUCCCGGUGCUGCCAAUGCACAAAAUCACCAUUCUAUUACUUUCUUUUUUCUUAAAAUGUUAAGUGAGUCAAUAAGAUAUGUUUGUACAAUGUGUGAAAUUUUGAAAUCAAUUCAACCUACAUAUGAUGGAGAAGCAAAAAUAAAUAAAUAAAUAAAUAGAAAUUCAGCCAUGAUGGUGUUUGUAUUUUGAUUUUUUAUAAUAUUCAUAGUUGGAUUUAUCUUUUUCGAGUAAGAUGUUUUUAUCCUCUAUCUACAUACUCCCCCUGUUCCAAAAUAAUUGUCUUAAUCUUGUACUAAUCUUAGUAUAAAAUUAUACUAAUUUUGAGAUACUUAUUUUGUGACGGAGGAAGUGGAAUUUUGUGGUGCCGACCUCUUAGGUGGGACACACACAUGCUUCCAUCGAUGUCCAUGCAUAGGAUGAUGGGAAUAUCAGCAUCUGUCAUUUUUUUUCUAACUGUUUUUACUUCUUCCUUUUUCCAACUAGCUUAGCCUAUCAAUUGCUUGUUCGUGUACAUACUUGUGUGUCUCUCUCGAUAAACUUGUCGUUCCUUGGGUGCGAUGACUUCGCAAGGAAUCCAACCUUUCUACCAGUAAAAAAAAAAAAGACAAGCCAUUGCUCUCCUCUUUAUUUUAAAGUACAUGCACUUCAAUUAUGCACGUCUCUUCCCCCUAACACGAGCAUGCAUUAUAAGUUGCUACUAUUCUAUAAGCUCCAAUUGAUUCAUCCAAAGUCCAAGAUUUGGUUACAAUAAAUAAGGAAAGUAAUUUUAAACUAAUACGAAUUUUAUUCAAUGAAUGUUCACAAUUUACAUCCUAGUUCACCCUACAUAUACAUACAUAUACACACAAGUUAAACAUGCAUCUACAAUCAGUUCUACCUAUCUUGUGACAUAAUUGUGUUCUUCUUCUACUCCGGCCUAUAAUAUCUUACACUAAUCAAUUAACUUUACACAAUAUACGGUACUAAUUUAGCCUGAUCUACAAAUUAUGCAUGAGUAAUAUCCCCCUCGAUCCAUUGAUCGACCGGCAUCAAUAGUGAAUAAUUGAUUAAUAUGUCUGCAGUCAAAUCGCUAGCUAGCUUUCUCCUAGCCCUAAUUAUCAAGGUAGCAUGCAUGGAUCAUAUCCUGUCCUGCUGGGAAGGCUGGUCUGGCCCAAAUAUGGAGAAGCCGCCGUUCAUCAUCGUCAUGGACCCAUCGCUACCCAACCACCUCUUGGAAGCGUGCAACGACGACAUUUCACCAUCGUUAUUGCUGUCCGCCGUCGCCUGCCUCUUCCGCGCCGUGCUGGCCUCGCCGUCGCUGGCCCCAGCAGUGGUGCCGAGGAAGAACUGGCCGACGGAGGUUGCAAUCUCCGGCUGUGGCGGCGGCAUGCUGUCGAAGAGCUCCGAGACGGCUGAGUAGUCCACGAGGUAGUCGGAGAUGGACGGGUUCCUCGGCAGCAUCCGGGAGGAGGAGGAGGUGUCCUCUUGCUGCUGAUGUUGCUGCUGCUGCUGCUGCUGCUGGUGGUGGUGGUGGCCGUGGCCGAGGCCGAGGGUGGCGUCCAUGGACGACGGCGACGGCGACGGCUCGUAGAAGGGCGACAGCUGCUGCGGGUUGGGCUUCUUGUAGAUCCUGCACAGCACCCAAUCAUCCAGCUGCACGCACACAAGAAGGUGAAUCAGUGCCACACACGUGUGUGCAUGUAUGUUGCAACAAACGGUCGCUUGCUAAGCUUGACAGGUAGUUGGUGCUGGUUAGCUAGUAGGUUGUGGCUUGUAAGGUAAUAGUGCAAGUCUCUUUCUUAGGGAAGGAAGAUCCCAGCGGUGAAAGAAACUAUAGCUAAUAGGACGGACAGUGGCUUCCUAGCUCAUUGACCAGGUUAGUUGCUUGCUCGAGCUCAACUCACUGACAUCCACGCACACGCAACUAAUAAGAAGAGAACAAAAGAUUCCUAGCUAGCUCCAACGAGAUGCCUUCCUCGUUAAUUUGCAGCCGCAGAAAACAUGCAUAUGCAUGUGUGAUCAAUCAAGAAGAAAUAAUAAAGCAUGAAAUUACCGAGUACAACAAGAUGAUGGAGAGAGCCAUCGCAAAAAAAGAAAAAAAGAAAGAUGAUGGAGAAAGAGUUGUGCAUGCAUGCGUACCCUCAUGGAGGACGAGGCCUUGAACCGCGUGGGGGGCCGGUAUGUGUGCGCGGCGGCGGCGGCGGCGGCGUGGGCGUCGGCGAGGCGGUACUCGUGCAUGAUCCAGUUCGUCUUGUGCCCCUUGGGCGGACGGCCCUGGUAGAACACGAGCGCCUUCUUGACGCCGACCAUCUCGCCGCCGGGCACGCCGCCGGCCGUGAUGGGCUUGUCGGUGCCGGUGGCCUUCCAGUAGCCCGACCCGGCGGCGCGGUUGGGGCGGACGCCGUUGGGGUACUUGCGGUCGCGGGGGCUGAAGAAGUACCACUCGUCGUUGUCGCCCUCGAACACCGCGCGGGACGGCAGCUCCCACGGGUCCAGCUUGUAGAUGUCCACCUCCGCGAUGACGGCCGCCGGGCACGGCGCCGCGGCCGCGCGCCUGCGGAGGUAGUGCACGAUCAGCUCCUCGUCCGUCGGGUAGAACCGGAACCCCGGCGGCAGCCCCGUGCCCGCCGGCGCCGGGAGCGACGUCGGCCUCGUCUGCAGCUCGAUCGUCAUCACACACACCCGAUCGAACGCUCGGUCAGGGGCUCAAGGCGGCGAGGGAAGGGAAGGGAAGGUGGGUCGAGAGUCGAGACGGAGGAGAACUGAAAUUUUCGGAGGUGGAGGCGACGGGUGCGGUUAUAAAGGCGCCGAGGUGCUCCGGCGCAUGGCAGGCUCUUGUAAUUCUUGGCCGCCGGUGACGAGAGGGAUGAUGAUUGCAAGGGCCCUGCCGUACGUGCGCGUCCAUCCAUAUCACGUCAUCGGCGCUCGCAGGCUCACGUACUUGGCCAGAAUCUUCAAUUUGUUGGAAUAUUUUCUCUCUUUUUUGUGCCAUGUGAGAACGAGAGAGUGGGGGAAAAUAUAUCCGAAAAAGACAUUAGCAGAAUGAAUGGAUGAAAAUUGUGCAAAUGAUUGGAGAAGUUGGAUAUUCGGCUCGGUUUGUAGGACCGGGAAGCGUUCAUGGCCCAGAGGAAUACCAUAGCACAUGAAUACCAGGUACGGUGUUUUUGUGUGUGUUUUCAUUGACCACGCAGGAAUAGCUACUCCUAUGCAUGCAUGCACUGAUGCACAUGCAUGGUGCCAUUUGCUGCUGGCUGAGACAUUUCAAAGAAAAUUAGUAUUAUUCAUUGCUGAAAUGCAAAGCUCGGAAAAUCAUUGGAGUUGUCAUAGACUACAAACUACAAGUUGAUUGAAUUCAGAUCAAGAUUUUUGUAGGCCCGGGAUUAUCCGAUCUUCAUUUAAUUCUGUUCAUUGCUAAAACGGAGGGACUUAGGAGUAUGCAUGCACAUGCAUUAGAGUCAUCUGCUGCUUAGCUGCUAGCCGAGACAUACAAAAUUAUAUUCCCUGCUGGUAUGCAAAACCAUUGGAGCUGUCUAGACUACUAAUUGAUUGAAGUUGCUUAAAUAUCUCCAUCAAACUCUAAGCAUUCAGAUCAAGAUUUAAUCAUUUUCAUAAAGCGCACGAAGGUUCUACUUGCACAGUUGAAGAGUGAAAUUUAAGAACUGGUAGUGCGCAAUUUGUAGUAACUGAAUCCAAAAGGAAAGGUACCUACGGGCG